AGAGUUUGAUUCUGGCUCAGAACGAACGCUGGCGGCAGGCCUAACACAUGCAAGUCGAACGCCGUAGCAAUACGGAGUGGCAGACGGGUGAGUAACGCGUGGGAACCUUCCCAGUGGUACGGAAUAGCUCAGGGAAACCUGGGGUAAUACCGUAUACGCCCCUCGGGGGAAAGAUUUAUCGCCAUUGGAUGGGCCCGCGUAGGAUUAGCUAGUUGGUGGGGUAAUGGCCUACCAAGGCGACGAUCCUUAGCUGGUCUGAGAGGAUGAUCAGCCACACUGGGACUGAGACACGGCCCAGACUCCUACGGGAGGCAGCAGUGGGGAAUAUUGGACAAUGGGCGAAAGCCUGAUCCAGCCAUGCCGCGUGAGUGACGAAGGCCUUAGGGUUGUAAAGCUCUUUUGGCGGGGAAGAUAAUGACGGUACCCGCAGAAUAAGCUCCGGCUAACUUCGUGCCAGCAGCCGCGGUAA
RNAcentral lists this ribosomal RNA (469 nucleotides) under uncultured Pedomicrobium sp. RNAcentral describes it as "bacterial SSU rRNA". It matches the Rfam family "Bacterial small subunit ribosomal RNA", at positions 8 to 523 of the family's 1533-position model. The record is from RNAcentral. Lineage: Bacteria; Pseudomonadati; Pseudomonadota; Alphaproteobacteria; Hyphomicrobiales; Hyphomicrobiaceae.